Molecule: ribosomal RNA, 1048 nt
Filed under: Enterococcus sp.
Lineage: Bacteria; Bacillati; Bacillota; Bacilli; Lactobacillales; Enterococcaceae
Description: bacterial SSU rRNA
Rfam family: Bacterial small subunit ribosomal RNA
Source: RNAcentral
UGCAGUCGAACGCUUUUUCUUUCACCGGAGCUUGCUCCACCGAAAGAAAAAGAGUGGCGAACGGGUGAGUAACACGUGGGUAACCUGCCCAUCAGAAGGGGAUAACACUUGGAAACAGGUGCUAAUACCGUAUAACACUAUUUUCCGCAUGGAAGAAAGUUGAAAGGCGCUUUUGCGUCACUGAUGGAUGGACCCGCGGUGCAUUAGCUAGUUGGUGAGGUAACGGCUCACCAAGGCAACGAUGCAUAGCCGACCUGAGAGGGUGAUCGGCCACACUGGGACUGAGACACGGCCCAGACUCCUACGGGAGGCAGCAGUAGGGAAUCUUCGGCAAUGGACGAAAGUCUGACCGAGCAACGCCGCGUGAGUGAAGAAGGUUUUCGGAUCGUAAAACUCUGUUGUUAGAGAAGAACAAGGAUGAGAGUAAAACGUUCAUCCCUUGACGGUAUCUAACCAGAAAGCCACGGCUAACUACGUGCCAGCAGCCGCGGUAAUACGUAGGUGGCAAGCGUUGUCCGGAUUUAUUGGGCGUAAAGCGAGCGCAGGCGGUUUCUUAAGUCUGAUGUGAAAGCCCCCGGCUCAACCGGGGAGGGUCAUUGGAAACUGGGAGACUUGAGUGCAGAAGAGGAGAGUGGAAUUCCAUGUGUAGCGGUGAAAUGCGUAGAUAUAUGGAGGAACACCAGUGGCGAAGGCGGCUCUCUGGUCUGUAACUGACGCUGAGGCUCGAAAGCGUGGGGAGCGAACAGGAUUAGAUACCCUGGUAGUCCACGCCGUAAACGAUGAGUGCUAAGUGUUGGAGGGUUUCCGCCCUUCAGUGCUGCAGCAAACGCAUUAAGCACUCCGCCUGGGGAGUACGACCGCAAGGUUGAAACUCAAAGGAAUUGACGGGGGCCCGCACAAGCGGUGGAGCAUGUGGUUUAAUUCGAAGCAACGCGAAGAACCUUACCAGGUCUUGACAUCCUUUGACCACUCUAGAGAUAGAGCUUCCCCUUCGGGGGCAAAGUGACAGGUGGUGCAUGGUUGUCGUCAGCUCGUGUCGUGAGAUGUU